Molecule: ribosomal RNA, 253 nt
Filed under: uncultured bacterium
Lineage: Bacteria
Description: partial 16S ribosomal RNA
Rfam family: Bacterial small subunit ribosomal RNA
Source: RNAcentral
UACGAAGGGGGCCAGCGUUGCUCGGAAUCACUGGGCGUAAAGCGCACGUAGGCGGAUUGUUAAGUCAGUGGUGAAAUCCUGCAGCUCAACUGCAGAACUGCCAUUGAUACUGUUGUUCUUGAAUACAACUGAUGUGGGCGGAAUGUGCCAUGUAGUGGUGAAAUUCGUAGAUAUUCGCAAGAACACCAGUGGCGAAGGCGGCUCACUGGCCCGGUACUGACGCUGAGGUGCGAAAGCGUGGGGAGCAAACAGG